GACGAACGCUGGCGGCGUGCCUAAUACAUGCAAGUCGAGCGGACGAAUCGAAAGCUUGCUUUUGAUUCGUUAGCGGCGGACGGGUGAGUAACACGUGGGCAACCUGCCCUGUAGACGGGGAUAACACCGAGAAAUCGGUGCUAAUACCGGAUAACACGAAAUGUCGCAUGACGUUUCGUUGAAAGACGGCGCAAGCUGUCGCUACAGGAUGGGCCCGCGGCGCAUUAGCUAGUUGGUGAGGUAACGGCUCACCAAGGCGACGAUGCGUAGCCGACCUGAGAGGGUGAUCGGCCACACUGGGACUGAGACACGGCACAGACUCCUACGGGAGGCAGCAGUAGGGAAUCUUCCGCAAUGGACGAAAGUCUGACGGAGCAACGCCGCGUGAGCGAAGAAGGCCUUCGGGUCGUAAAGCUCUGUUGUUAGGGAAGAACAAGUAACGCAGUAACUGGCGUUACCGUGACGGUACCUAACGAGAAAGCCACGGCUAACUACGU
RNAcentral lists this ribosomal RNA (497 nucleotides) under uncultured bacterium. Its description in RNAcentral is "partial 16S ribosomal RNA". It matches the Rfam family "Bacterial small subunit ribosomal RNA", at positions 28 to 506 of the family's 1533-position model. The record is from RNAcentral.